This 103-nucleotide microRNA precursor is filed under the name Marmota monax (woodchuck). The record is from RNAcentral. Lineage: Eukaryota; Metazoa; Chordata; Mammalia; Rodentia; Sciuridae.
AAUGGGAUAACUGGGUCAAAUGGUAGUUAUAUUUCUGGUUUUUUGAGGAAUCUCCAUACUGCUUUCCAUAGUGGUUGCACCAAUUUGCAGUCCCACUAGCAAU